Myotis davidii is the source of this 120-nucleotide non-coding RNA. Lineage: Eukaryota; Metazoa; Chordata; Mammalia; Chiroptera; Vespertilionidae. The record is from Rfam.
AGCUUUGCUCAGUGGCAGUAUUGUAGCCAAUGAGGUUUAUCCAAGGUGUGAUUAUUGCUAAUUGAAAAAAAAAUAAAGAUAGUAGCUUGCAAACUUGUUUUUUGAAGGUGGUCCACAAUA